RNAcentral lists this ribosomal RNA (173 nucleotides) under Liriope graminifolia. RNAcentral describes it as "5.8S ribosomal RNA". The stretch from base 69 to 173 matches the Rfam family "5.8S ribosomal RNA", at positions 1 to 117 of the family's 154-position model. Rfam says of the family: 5.8S ribosomal RNA (5.8S rRNA) is a component of the large subunit of the eukaryotic ribosome. It is transcribed by RNA polymerase I as part of the 45S precursor that also contains 18S and 28S rRNA. Lineage: Eukaryota; Viridiplantae; Streptophyta; Magnoliopsida; Asparagales; Asparagaceae. The record is from RNAcentral.
GCUGUCGGAGAGCGCGCCGCGCGCCGGUCUCGGCGCGCAGCGCGAUCUUUCCAUACGUCGAACUUUACGACUCUCGCAACGGAUUGCAUCGAUGAAGAACGCAGCGAAAUGCGAUACUUGGUGUGAAUUGCAGAAUCCCGUGAACCAUCGAGUCUUUGAACGCAAGUUGCGCC